This 219-nucleotide unclassified non-coding RNA is filed under the name uncultured Tomentella. Its description in RNAcentral is "sequence contains ITS2". The record is from RNAcentral. Lineage: Eukaryota; Fungi; Basidiomycota; Agaricomycetes; Thelephorales; Thelephoraceae.
ACACCUCAACUCUUCAUGGCUUGCCAUGAUGAGCUUGGACUUUGGGGGUCUUGCUGGCCUGCAGUCAGCUCCUCUCAAAUGAAUCAGCUUGCCAGUGUUUGGUGGCACCACAGGUGUGAUAAACAUCUACUCUUGUGGUCCUCCGCCAUGUAACCUUCAGUGAUGGAGGUUCACUGGAGCUUAUAAAUGUCUCUCCUCAGCAAAGACAGCUUUUUGACC